RNAcentral lists this non-coding RNA (148 nucleotides) under Homo sapiens (human). The record is from Rfam by way of RNAcentral. Lineage: Eukaryota; Metazoa; Chordata; Mammalia; Primates; Hominidae.
GCCGGGCGUGGUAGCGCGCGCCUGUAAUCCCAGCUACUCGGGAGGCUGAAGCAGGAGAAUUGCUUGAACCCGGGAGGCAGAGGUUGCAGUGAGCUGAGAUUGUGCCACUGCACUCCAGCCUGGGUGACAGAGUGAGACUCCGUCUCAA